RNAcentral lists this unclassified non-coding RNA (2504 nucleotides) under Haliotis rubra (blacklip abalone). RNAcentral's name for it is "nose resistant to fluoxetine protein 6-like, transcript variant X2". Lineage: Eukaryota; Metazoa; Mollusca; Gastropoda; Lepetellida; Haliotidae. The record is from RNAcentral.
CUGGGUCCUCAGCUUCCGUCCAUCUUGAAGGGGCUUUUACUGUCAAACACAAGCGGACUGACGGAGGACGAAAUAAUGUGUUCUGAAGACGUGUAUACCUUUCUAGGCGAUCUCUUACAGGGGAAGAUGUGGGCACUUUCCAUGAUCGAUGCAUCAGGGAAACCUGCUUCCUCCAUCUUUAAAGGGGCAACCACCUUCUUCGGGAACUAUGAUGAAUGUCUUGAGGUGGUCAGUGAGGUGGACCUAUCCACUGGUAGACAAGUAAAGGGGGACACCUGCGUUGUCUCCAUUAAACCCCCUCCACAGCUGCUAAAACAUGAUGGGGCCCGCAAGUGUCUUAGCUCCGAACCUUGCCUUCAACUGGCAUCUGUGCCUUCCAGAAACGUGCGGCAGCAAUAAAGUCAAGGCAGACAUACAAAGCAUGUUGUCUCAAGUUAACCUGACAAUAGACAAAGUGGUGUGUCAUGCUGAAGUGAAGAACGGGCCUAUGAGUGAGGACAGCGCAGCAGUGGGAGCUAUCGUCCUGACAGCCAUCUUGGGAUGCAUGGUUCUUCUGGGUUCUGCUUUGGAUCUGUACAUCCGGGCUACCAAAGAUCAUGGUGAGAAGGCCCCUGUCACUCCUGGUCUGGAUGCUGUUCAGCUAGAAAAAAUCAGUGCAAAUUUACAGUCUAAGGACACUGAGGGGAUUGAGGCACCAGUUAGCAAUGGGCAUAGAGAUGGUUUGAUUGGCAAUUCGCAAGGGACUGGUCACGUAGAGAAUGGUGGACUAGACAACCCUGCAGGUCCAGCAUUACCUGAAACAAAAGGUGGACACUUUCUAUAUCCUAAUACUGCUCAGCUGCCCAAAUCAGAAGAGAAACCAAAGAACCAGAAACCAAAAUUAUGGAAGCGUGUCCUGUUGUGUUUCUCAGCCGUCAGCAAUGGGGAGAAGAUCCUCAGCGUGAAACGCUCACCUGGAUCACUUACCUGUCUUAACGGCAUCCGGGUGCUCAGCAUGAGCUGGGUCAUUUUGGGACACACGUUCCUUAAUCUCAUUACUAACGUAGAAAAUGGAGCAGACCUCCUGCCGAUAACAAGGAGUUUCAGUUUCCAGGUUAUUAUGAACGCUCCAUUAUCGGUGGAUACAUUCUUUUUUCUCAGUGGCCUAUUGGUGACGUACUUGUUCCUGAAGGAGACGGAGAAGGCUGGAGGUCUGAAGGUGAAGCACAUGGUCAUGUACUACGUCCACCGCUACUUGAGAUUGACACCUGUGUACGCCUAUGUGAUAUUCGUCUACACGUUCGUUGUGCCGUAUUUGGUUGAUGGUCCAACCUGGACAAGUCCUACCGACAAGGCAGUUUGUGAGAAGAACUGGUGGAUAAACUUACUGUACAUAAAUAAUGUACUCUCACCAGACCAAAUGUGUAUAGCCUGGAGCUGGUACCUCGCCAACGACAUGCAGUUCUAUGUUGUGGCUCCCCUGGCGUUGAUCCCCUUGGCACUAAGUUCACAGAUGAAGGACAACUUUGCAAGAAAGGUCCUGAAGCUGAUUGGUAUAUGCGUGUCUGUCGGAUGCAUCAUCAUCAGCAUCGCCUGCACUGGCUACUAUUCAUAUCACAACUUCCAGGAUCUCAACGGGGUGUUCCUGAAUGUGUACAUCAAACCUUGGAAUCGGAUCGGACCAUUCGCCAUAGGGAUGCUUGUUGGCUAUAUGCUUCAAACGAAGAAGUCAAAGAUCGAGAUUUCUCCAUUCAUGCAAGGUUUGGGAUGGGUCCUGGCUUUGACGGCAGCCGGACUAUGCACACUGUUAACCUAUGACGACACAAAAGGACCAGGCUGGGGAAUCGAUGGAAGGACCGCUUUCGACACGCUGUUCAGACCUGUUUGGGCGCUGGUCCUGGGUUGGGUCGUCUUCAUCUGCUGCAAGGGAAAAGGAGGUAUCGUGGACUGGAUGUUGUCCUGGGACUGGUGGCAGCCUCUCUCUCGUCUCACAUACGGGGCCUACCUCGUCCAUCUUGUCUUCAUGAUUACUGAAACAUUAUCGAUGAGGUCACUCAUCUACUACACGCAAGGUUAUAUUGUGUACCGUUAUUUCGGCUUCGUGUGCAUGUCGUUCAUCUUCUCCUUCCUGCUGGCCAUCCUGGUGGAGGCGCCCAUGCUGCAGUUGGAGAAGCUGGCCCUGUCAUAAGUCACAGUAGUUGCUGUCGACGUCAUCUACCACAACUACCACAACUACCUGUAUAAUACCUAUGUCAAGCAUGUGAUCAAAGACACAAGAUAAAAGUACUCAAUGAAGAGAUCACGUGAUAAUUGUACAUGCUUCCGUACUAAAAGUGUGUUGUUAUUGAAACUACAUGAAAAAAAAGUAUGCUGAAAGAGACCAAUAGUUUUAUCACCAAAUAAAUUAUAUUAAUGAACACCGAAAGCUAGUGACGUAGCAUAAUCUUGAAAGUAGUAAACUUCAUUUGCCUCAAAUAGCGAAUAUUCUUUCAUCCAUCUAAAAUCACAACUACCAGAAACAGAGC